RNAcentral lists this ribosomal RNA (460 nucleotides) under uncultured bacterium. RNAcentral describes it as "partial 16S ribosomal RNA". It matches the Rfam family "Bacterial small subunit ribosomal RNA", at positions 338 to 795 of the family's 1533-position model. The record is from RNAcentral.
CCUACGGGUGGCAGCAGUGAGGAAUCUUCGUCAAUGGACGAAAGUCUGAACCAGCCACGUAGCGUGAAGGAUGACUGCCCUAUGAGUUGUAAACUUCUUUUAUAUAGGAGUAAAAUGAUGCAUGUAUCUGAAUUUGUAUGUACCAUAUGAAUAAGGAUCGGCUAACUCCGUGCCAGCAGCCGAGGUAAUACGGAGGAUACGAGCGUUAUCCGGAUUUAUUGGGUUUAAAGGGAGCGUAGGUGGGUUGUUAAGUCAGUUGUGAAAGUUUGCGGCUCAACCGUAAAAGUGCAGUGGAUACUGGCAGUCUUGAGUACAGUAGAGGUGGGUGGAAUUCGGGGUGUAGCGGUGAAAUGCUUAGAUAUCACGAAGAACUCCGAUUGCGAAGGCAGCUCACUGGACUGUAACUGACACUGAGGCUCGAAAGUGUGGGUAGCAAACAGGAUUAGAUACCCCAGUAGUC